GGAUGUAGCUUAGUCCGGUUAAAGUGCUGGUCUGGGGGACCAGAGAUCGUGGGUUCGAAUCCCGCCAUCC
This 70-nucleotide transfer RNA is filed under the name marine eukaryotic metagenome. It matches the Rfam family "tRNA". Rfam says of the family: Transfer RNA (tRNA) molecules are approximately 80 nucleotides in length. Their secondary structure includes four short double-helical elements and three loops (D, anti-codon, and T loops). Further hydrogen bonds mediate the characteristic L-shaped molecular structure. tRNAs have two regions of fundamental functional importance: the anti-codon, which is responsible for specific mRNA codon recognition, and the 3' end, to which the tRNAs corresponding amino acid is attached (by aminoacyl-tRNA synthetases). tRNAs cope with the degeneracy of the genetic code in two manners: having more than one tRNA (with a specific anti-codon) for a particular amino acid; and 'wobble' base-pairing, i.e. permitting non-standard base-pairing at the 3rd anti-codon position. The record is from RNAcentral.